GAUGAAGAACGUAGCGAAAUGCGAUAAGUAAUGUGAAUUGCAGAAUUCAGUGAAUCAUCGAAUCUUUGAACGCACAUUGCGCCCCCUGGUAUUCCGGGGGGCAUGCCUGUCCGAGCGUCAUUACAACCCUCAAGCUCAGCUUGGUGUUGGGCCCCGCCGCCCCGGCGGGCCCUAAAGUCAGUGGCGGUGCCGUCCGGCUCCGAGCGUAGUAAUUCUUCUCGCUCUGGAGGUCCGGUCGUGUGCUCGCCAGCAACCCCCAAUUUUUUUCAGGUUGACCUCGAAUCAGGUAGGAAUACCCGCUGAACUUAAGCAUAUCAAUAAGCGGAGGA
RNAcentral lists this unclassified non-coding RNA (329 nucleotides) under soil metagenome. RNAcentral's name for it is "partial contains 5.8S ribosomal RNA, internal transcribed spacer 2, and large subunit ribosomal RNA". The stretch from base 1 to 120 matches the Rfam family "5.8S ribosomal RNA", at positions 35 to 154 of the family's 154-position model. The record is from RNAcentral.